ACGGAGGUUGCAAGCGUUGUUCGGAAUAACUGGGCGUAAAGGGAGCGCAGGCGGUUAGGUAAGUUCAAAGUGAAAGCCCGGGGCUUAACCUCGGAAGUGCUUUUGAUACUGUCUUACUCGAGUUUGGGAGAGGAAAGCGGAAUUUGAGAUGUAGCGGUGAAAUGCGUAGAUAUCUGGAGGAACACCGAUGGCGAAGGCAGCUUACUGAGGAAUAACUGACGCUCAGGCACGAAAGCGUGGGGAGCAAACAG
RNAcentral lists this ribosomal RNA (251 nucleotides) under uncultured prokaryote. RNAcentral's name for it is "partial 16S rRNA". It matches the Rfam family "Bacterial small subunit ribosomal RNA", at positions 525 to 775 of the family's 1533-position model. The record is from RNAcentral.